This 810-nucleotide ribosomal RNA is filed under the name uncultured Caryophanales bacterium. Its description in RNAcentral is "bacterial SSU rRNA". It matches the Rfam family "Bacterial small subunit ribosomal RNA", at positions 28 to 833 of the family's 1533-position model. Lineage: Bacteria; Bacillati; Bacillota; Bacilli; Caryophanales. The record is from RNAcentral.
GACGAACGCUGGCGGCGUGCCUAAUACAUGCAAGUCGAGCGGACCACUUCGGUGGUCAGCGGCGGACGGGUGAGUAACACGUGGGCAACCUGCCUGUAAGACUGGGAUAACACCGGGAAACCGGUGCUAAUACCGGAUAAUCCUUUCCUUCACAUGAAGGGAAGCUGAAAGACGGUUUCGGCUGUCACUUACAGAUGGGCCCGCGGCGCAUUAGCUAGUUGGUGAGGUAACGGCUCACCAAGGCGACGAUGCGUAGCCGACCUGAGAGGGUGAUCGGCCACACUGGGACUGAGACACGGCCCAGACUCCUACGGGAGGCAGCAGUAGGGAAUCUUCCGCAAUGGACGAAAGUCUGACGGAGCAACGCCGCGUGAGCGAUGAAGGCCUUCGGGUCGUAAAGCUCUGUUGUCAGGGAAGAACAAGUACCGGAGUAACUGCCGGUACCUUGACGGUACCUGACCAGAAAGCCACGGCUAACUACGUGCCAGCAGCCGCGGUAAUACGUAGGUGGCAAGCGUUGUCCGGAAUUAUUGGGCGUAAAGCGCGCGCAGGCGGUCCUUUAAGUCUGAUGUGAAAGCCCACGGCUCAACCGUGGAGGGUCAUUGGAAACUGGGGGACUUGAGUGCAGAAGAGGAAAGUGGAAUUCCACGUGUAGCGGUGAAAUGCGUAGAGAUGUGGAGGAACACCAGUGGCGAAGGCGACUCUCUGGACUGUAACUGACGCUGAGACGCGAAAGCGUGGGGAGCAAACAGGAUUAGAUACCCUGGUAGUCCACGCCGUAAACGAUGGAUACUAGGUGUAGGAGGUAUC